RNAcentral lists this ribosomal RNA (613 nucleotides) under uncultured Ectothiorhodospiraceae bacterium. RNAcentral's name for it is "bacterial SSU rRNA". It matches the Rfam family "Bacterial small subunit ribosomal RNA", at positions 35 to 639 of the family's 1533-position model. The record is from RNAcentral. Lineage: Bacteria; Pseudomonadati; Pseudomonadota; Gammaproteobacteria; Chromatiales; Ectothiorhodospiraceae.
GCUGGCGGCAUGCCUAACACAUGCAAGUCGAACGGUAACGCGGAGAGCUUGCUCUCUGGCGACGAGUGGCGGACGGGUGAGUAACACUUAGGAAUCUGCCCAGUAGUGGGGGACAACAUUCGGAAACGGAUGCUAAUACCGCAUACGCACUACGGUGGAAAGUGGGGGAUCUUCGGACCUCACGCUAUUGGAUGAGCCUAAGUCGGAUUAUCUUGUUGGUAGGGUAAUGGCCUACCAAGGCGACGAUCCGUAGCUGGUCUGAGAGGACGAUCAGCCACACUGGGACUGAGACACGGCCCAGACUCCUACGGGAGGCAGCAGUGGGGAAUAUUGGACAAUGGGCGCAAGCCUGAUCCAGCAAUGCCGCGUGUGUGAAGAAGGCCUGCGGGUUGUAAAGCACUUUCAGUAGAGAAGAAAAGCCUAGGGUUAAUACCCCUGAGUCUUGACGUAACCUACAGAAGAAGCACCGGCUAACUCCGUGCCAGCAGCCGCGGUAAUACGGAGGGUGCGAGCGUUAAUCGGAAUUACUGGGCGUAAAGCGCGCGUAGGCGGCUUUGUAAGUCGGAUGUGAAAGCCCCGGGCUUAACCUGGGAAUUGCAUUCGAUACUGCUUA